UACGAAGGGGGCAAGCGUUGUUCGGAAUUACUGGGCGUAAAGGGCGCGUAGGCGGUGCUCUAAGUCAGGCGUGAAAGCCCUGGGCUCAACCCUGGGAUGCCGGUGGAUACUGUCGGGCUCGAGUCCGGAAGAGGCGAGUGGAAUUCCUGGUGUAGCGGUGAAAUGCGCAGAUAUCAGGAGGAACACCAAUGGCGAAGGCAGCUCGCUGGGACGUGACUGACGCUGAGACGCGAAAGCGUGGGGAGCAAACAGG
Molecule: ribosomal RNA, 253 nt
Filed under: uncultured bacterium
Lineage: Bacteria
Description: partial 16S ribosomal RNA
Rfam family: Bacterial small subunit ribosomal RNA
Source: RNAcentral